UUCUGAAAUGUGUUGUUCCAUGUUGUUUGUUAAAGAGGAUGGCAUUCCCUGUGGAUUUACUGAAUAAUUGCAGUCAUGAGGAAUUGGAAAACGCUGCUGAAGAUUACAUGUCAGAUUUAAGGUGUGGGGACCCUGAAAAUCCAGAGUAUUUUUCUUUUCUCAAUAUUACGGUAAGGCAUUUUGCAGUGAUGUUUUUUUAAAUCA
RNAcentral lists this long non-coding RNA (204 nucleotides) under Marmota monax (woodchuck). The record is from RNAcentral. Lineage: Eukaryota; Metazoa; Chordata; Mammalia; Rodentia; Sciuridae.